UACAGAGGGUGCGAGCGUUAAUCGGAAUUACUGGGCGUAAAGCGUGCGUAGACGGUUAUCUAAGUCGGAUGUGAAAGCCCCGGGCUCAACCUGGGAAUUGCAUUCGAGACUGAAUAGCUAGGGUGCGGUAGAGGGAAGCGGAAUUUCCGGUGUAGCGGUGAAAUGCGUAGAUAUCGGAAGGAACAUCAGUGGCGAAAGCGGCUUCCUGGUCCAGCACCGACGUUCAGGCACGAAAGCGUGGGGAGCAAACAGG
This 253-nucleotide ribosomal RNA is filed under the name uncultured bacterium. RNAcentral's name for it is "partial 16S ribosomal RNA". It matches the Rfam family "Bacterial small subunit ribosomal RNA", at positions 524 to 776 of the family's 1533-position model. The record is from RNAcentral.